RNAcentral lists this ribosomal RNA (363 nucleotides) under uncultured eukaryote. Its description in RNAcentral is "SSU rRNA". It matches the Rfam family "Eukaryotic small subunit ribosomal RNA", at positions 567 to 937 of the family's 1831-position model. The record is from RNAcentral.
CCAGCAGCCGCGGUAAUUCCAGCUCCAAUAGCGUAUAUUAAAGUUGUUGCAGUUAAAAAGCUCGUAGUUGAACUUUGGAUUCUCCCUAGCGGUCGCUCAUUGAGUUGUACUGCGGGGGGGAAUCCCACCUUCUGGUGAACUCUCGUGCUCUUCACUGAGUGCGUUUGGGAGCCAGGACUUUUACUUUGAAAAAAUUAGAGUGUUUAAAGCAGGCUCACGCCUGAAUACAUUAGCAUGGAAUAAUAGAAUAGGACUUUGGUUUUAUUUUGUUGGUUUCCAAGACCAAAGUAAUGAUUAAUAGGGACAGUUGGGGGCAUUAGUAUUUAGUCGUCAGAGGUGAAAUUCUUGGAUUGACUAAAGACU